GGUGGUGUUAGUGAAGGCAAGCAGACUUGGAAGUCUGGAAGAUGCAGGUUCAAAUCCUGCCUCCACCA
RNAcentral lists this transfer RNA (68 nucleotides) under Fukomys damarensis (Damara mole-rat). It matches the Rfam family "tRNA". From Rfam's summary of the family: Transfer RNA (tRNA) molecules are approximately 80 nucleotides in length. Their secondary structure includes four short double-helical elements and three loops (D, anti-codon, and T loops). The record is from Rfam by way of RNAcentral. Lineage: Eukaryota; Metazoa; Chordata; Mammalia; Rodentia; Bathyergidae.